This is a long non-coding RNA of Populus euphratica (Euphrates poplar), 545 nucleotides long. RefSeq lists it as uncharacterized. The record is from RefSeq and is a predicted model, not a curated record. The transcript has 2 exons. NCBI's taxonomy places the organism in Eukaryota, Viridiplantae, Streptophyta, Magnoliopsida, Malpighiales, Salicaceae.
AGGUAUCUGAUAGAUAGCUUUCCUUGUGGGCGACCUAUUCCAAAAACAGGAAUCAAUUUAUGCAGAUCAAAUACAAUACAAUGCCAUCUCUGUGCUAUUAGAAGCUUUCUCCAAUGGCUGGACAGUGAUUUGAUCAACCAAGCCAAUUUAAUUGACACCAUCUAUUUUUGAAAACAAUUAAGAUGAUGAGAAUUUUGAGAGUUAAGCAGCAGGAUGGAUGGAUAUGGAUGACUCGCUUCGCAUUUACACGCAUAUGAGCACAUAAUGGUUGAGUUUUUAAUGUUUGAGAGAUGUUGUGCAAGUAGGACCAACCACCCUCCUCCGUCGUAGUCGCCGUCCUCCUCCUCCCAAAAAAGAAAAGAAAAUAGCAUCACACACUCAUAGAUGAGAUUUCAUGACAGAUACAUUCGAUAUGUACAUAUGACCAACCACCCCCGCCCUCCUCCUCCUCCUCCUAAAAAAAAAAAAGAAGAAGAAGAAAAAGAGGUCUUGAUUGAGGGUUGCAGUUGUGAGAAUUAAUGGCAUCCAUUCUCUUUUGCUUUCCA